UACGGAGGGUGCGAGCGUUGUUCGGAAUCACUGGGCGUAAAGGGCGUGUAGGCGGUCCGCUAAGUCUGAUGUGAAAGCCCGGGGCUCACCCCCGGAAGUGCAUUGGAAACUGGCGGACUCGAGUCCCGGAGAGGAGAGUGGAAUUCCUGGUGUAGCGGUGAAAUGCGUAGAUAUCAGGAGGAACACCGGUGGCGAAGGCGGCUCUCUGGACGGUGACUGACGCUGAGACGCGAAAGCGUGGGGAGCGAACGGG
This 253-nucleotide ribosomal RNA is filed under the name uncultured bacterium. Its description in RNAcentral is "partial 16S ribosomal RNA". It matches the Rfam family "Bacterial small subunit ribosomal RNA", at positions 524 to 776 of the family's 1533-position model. The record is from RNAcentral.